CUGUAGGUAAUCAUUAUCUCCAUCAGUCAUGCCUUGUACCAACAACAGAGGACCCCUAUGAAGCAAUUAAUUCCUUCAUAGAGAAAGAAGUGCCGCCAUCGAUGCGCCGAAGAUAUGGGUCACAUUCGUUCAAUUUGACUCCAUCCUUUCAGUGCAGCCCCUUGUCUUUUCCCCAUCUCUUCCCCGCAGUUACACAGCCAUAAACAACAGGGACAUUCACGAAGAUCUACCCCCUCCCCCCACCUGACAACUUUCUACCCAUCUGAUCAACUAGGAAAUGGAGGACUAGACGGACUGUAUCCCUUUCAGCUCUUAUCUCAAGUAACUCACCGGUGAGAUUUGCGACAAAAAAGGAGCCUAUUCCGAAGCAGGCAGACAGCUUCGAUCAGCUCCUCUAUCGCUGAUACUAUACAAAACCAGAGAGUUUUUCGCAAUGAUGUUUGCGUAUAUCCGUGGAUACUCACUUGCAUUCUCAAUCAUACCGAAGCUUUUUUUUCUUUAUCUCAUGGGUCACUCCGGCAACGUAUCCUUGCGUGACCUCUUGGAUAACUGACGGUCUGCUGUACUUCACGUGUACUCAAGGCUAUUCUUGAGCUGCCUGUGAUUACGGGCGCCAUUAAAGGGCGGGCUAAAGGCUCUGCAGAGAGAGAAGAUACCAAGACGAAGAUGGAGGAAAAUGCGGGGGCGGAGUGGAGGAAUAGGCGGCUGGCGGUUGAUAGCGUCCUCAUUCCCCCUGGCUUUCGUCCCACUAUCAAAAGGGAGGGUUUCUUCAACCAAAAGAAGGAAGUUCAGACUUUGAAAGAGACUAAGGGUGGUGCCAGAACUCUAGAAACUUACGAGACUGCGUGCUGUACGAGCCUUUGGCGACAAAGUGGGCAAGGAGACAUGGAAAGGACGGAUUAGGAGGGGCGUGUGCUCUUCAUGGAUCUCUGGAUAUAAUCAUCUUCAGUCUCCUCAAUUUUACCAAUACAGCUUGGAGAAUAAUGUGGCCAGGGAUGCGAGCAUUCGAUCGCAGGAGGAUAGUAUUAUUAUGCAGCGAGGGAGCGAUCCAAUUAAACCCUCUCCUUCCCAAUUCUAUCCACCAUUAUCACAAUACUAUCCCCCUGCUCCACAACAUUACCCAACUUCAAAUUACCGUGUGCCUCCUACGCAAUAUAUCCCUUACAGCCAAGUGCUGUUCCACAGCUAGGAAUGAGGAGGAAGGAAUAAUGGAUAGAUGUCGAAAAAGGAAUAGAUGUUGAAUAGAGGACUGAAUGACUAUGCACG
Molecule: small RNA, 1266 nt
Filed under: Cryptococcus neoformans H99
Lineage: Eukaryota; Fungi; Basidiomycota; Tremellomycetes; Tremellales; Cryptococcaceae
Description: Cryptococcus neoformans var. grubii H99 hypothetical RNA
Source: RNAcentral